CCUACGGGGGGCAGCAGUAGGGAAUCAUUCACAAUGGGGGAAACCCUGAUGCAGCGACGCCGCGUGGGUGAAGAAGCGCCUCGGCGCGUAAAGCCCUGUCAGAAGGGAAGAAAAUGACGGUACCUGAAGAAGAAGCCCCGGCUAACUACGUGCCAGCAGCCGCGGUAAUACGUAGGGGGCGAGCGUUAUCCGGAUUUACUGGGUGAAAAGGCGGCGCAGACGGCGGUGCAAGCAAGGAGUGAAAGCCCGGGGCCCAACCCCGGGACUGCUCUGGGAACUGCGUGGCUGGAGUGCAGGAGGGGCAGGCGGAAUUCCUGGUGUAGCGGUGAAAUGCGUAGAUAUCAGGAGGAACACCAGUGGCGAAGGCGGCCUGCUGGACUGCAACUGACGUUGAGGCCCGAAAGCGUGGGGAGCAAACAGGAUUAGAUACCCCUGUAGUC
Molecule: ribosomal RNA, 440 nt
Filed under: uncultured bacterium
Lineage: Bacteria
Description: partial 16S ribosomal RNA
Rfam family: Bacterial small subunit ribosomal RNA
Source: RNAcentral